UACAGAGGUCUCGAGCGUUAGGCGGAAUCACUGGGCUUAAAGCGUGUGUAGGUGGAUCGUUAAGUACCUUGUGAAAUCCCACGGCUUAACCGUGGAACUGCUUGGUAUACUGGCGGUCUUGAGUCAGCUAGGGGCUACCGGAACAAAUGGUGGAGCGGUGAAAUGCGUAGAUAUCAUUUGGAACGCCAAUGGUGAAAACAGGCUGCUGGGGUUGCGCCGACGCUGAGACACGAAAGCCAGGGGAGCAAACGGG
RNAcentral lists this ribosomal RNA (253 nucleotides) under uncultured bacterium. Its description in RNAcentral is "partial 16S ribosomal RNA". It matches the Rfam family "Bacterial small subunit ribosomal RNA", at positions 524 to 776 of the family's 1533-position model. The record is from RNAcentral.